RNAcentral lists this ribosomal RNA (449 nucleotides) under uncultured bacterium. RNAcentral describes it as "partial 16S ribosomal RNA". It matches the Rfam family "Bacterial small subunit ribosomal RNA", at positions 330 to 795 of the family's 1533-position model. The record is from RNAcentral.
UCCAGACUCCUACGGGAGGCAGCAGUGGGGGAUAUUGCACAAUGGGGGGAACCCUGAUGCAGCGACGCCGCGUGGGUGAAGAAGCGCCUCGGCGCGUAAAGCCCUGUCAGCAGGGAAGAAAAUGACGGUACCCAAGGAAUAAGCCCCGGCUAACUACGUGCCAGCAGCCGCGGUAAUACGUAGGGGGCAAGCGUUGUUCGGAAUGACUGGGCGUAAAGGGUGUGUAGGCGGUGUAGCAAGUUAGAAGUGAAAUACCUAGAGCUUAACUCAGGUGCUGCUUCUAAAACUGCUAUACUUGAGUGCAGUAGAGGAAAGUGGAAUUCCUAGUGUAGCGGUGGAAUGCGUAGAUAUUAGGAGGAACAUCAGUGGCGAAGGCGACUUUCUGGACUGUAACUGACGCUGAGGCACGAAAGUGUGGGGAGCAAACAGGAUUAGAUACCCCUGUAUUC